UUUAAUUCUCUGACAGUGUACAGUCUGUUUAUUUAUUACACAGACAUGCAUGAAACAUACAACAUGAAACAUCAUAACAAUCUGCAUACAAACAUUAUUCUACAAAAAGAAAUCUACAAAAUUAAAAGUCCUUCAUUUCAGGCUACAGAGACUCAUUAGGGUCAUUUUUAAUCAGACUUGUACAUCUCCCUAUAACUCCUCAGACAUCCAAAUCACAUUCUGCCGUAUGGCCACCAGCUGUUACCAUGGCAACUAGGAGGGUUUGGCACCUAAGUUUUGGCUGUGUCCCAAUCCAAGGGCUGCAACCCUCGGAGGCCACAUUUAAAGAUCACAUGCUUUACAGCGGUGUGACAUUCAAAGCUGUCCUGUUACAAAGAUGGACUAAGGUCUGGGUCAUUCAAAGGUUGGUUCUGAUAAGGUCUGGGUCCUUCAACGGUCGGUUCUGCUGAGGUCUGGGUCCCUCAACGGCCAGUUCUGCCAAGGUCUAGGUUCUUCAAGGGUUGGUUGUGCUGAGGUCUGGGGCCUGUUCUACGAAGCAGGAUUACUGCUUAGCGAGGUAACUUCGAGGGUAAGUUCGGGGUUUCCUGUUCUACGACGCGGGUUCACUUCUUAGCGAGGCGAGUCUCCAUAGCAAUAUACGCUGUACGGCUAACCUGCUCCGGGGCAGGUUAAGUUCCAGAUUGAACUCACCGAGUAUAAAAACCCCGCCCACUGACCAAUGAGUUCUCUCGAAAAACGGCUUGUCCGUUCUUGGAGGAUCCUAUAGACCUCGGUGCUCGCAUUGUCCGAGGAGCACUCCGGCUCGCGAGAGUUUUCAGGGAGAGUUUUCUCCGGAUGACCACCUUUAUGAAAGGCUCAUAUGGCCGACAUAUUACACAAAACAUGUAAACACGAUAGGAAUGAACACAUGAAUGAUUCAUCUUGGGAAUGAAUGGGCAUGAGCUGCAGGGGCUGCGCGAUCACAGACAACAUCUUGGUACUAUUUAGUAGCAGCGCACGCCCCUUGUAAUAACCCCGUAAAUACUGUUGUUCAGGACUGCUUACUUGUGCCUCCUACCUACUGUAAUAACCGUUGUUCUUGCCCACAUGCAACAUUUUUGUUCUCAUUCAUGAAACGCUUAAAUCGGGGACAUUUUCGGGGACAGCUUUAGCCGGGGACAGAUCAUCCAAUUCGGGGACUGUCACCUUAGUUAAAAGUUCAUGUUGAACAGUGCUAUUUCAGGGUGAUAAUGGCAUCAAAGAUUAAUUUUCUGCCAGCAUUCCCUCAGUGCUUUUGCAGCGGCGACGGUGUUGCUUUUGAGGUUUAUGAUAGAUUUGAAUUCUUCAUACUUUCUCAUGAUCGUCUCCUGCUCCUAGUUUGUAAAGUCUGCGGUCCUUCACUCUCCAGCCUGCUGCUCUGACACUCCAGACUGAUCCAUGUUCGCGAUUGGUCAGAUGCGGCGAGCUCCGCCUUGUAUGUGUGCACGCGCUCAUAGCAAAGCUGGAUCUACUUAUGAGGUUGAUAACCAGCGUCGUAAAACCGCUUAGCGAGACCGCCGGCUACCGCGCUAAGUUGAGCGAGGUAGCUCUCAGACUACCUCGCUAAGUUGAACUUGCUUCGUAGAACAGGCCCCUGGGACCUUUAAAGGUUGGUUCUGGCAAGGUCUGGGUCCUUCAAGGGUUGGUUCUGCUAAGGUCUGGGUCCUUGAAAGGUAAGUUCUGCUAAGGUCUGGGUCCUUCAAAGGUUGGUUCUACUAAUGUCUUGGUCCCUUAAGGUUGUGUCUACUAAGGUCUGAGUCCUUCAAAGGUUGGUCCUGCUAAGGUUUGUGUCCUUCAAAGUUGGUUCUGCUAAGGUCUGGCUCCUUCAAAGGUUUCUAAGGUCUGGGUUCUUCAACAGUCGUUUCUGCUAUGGUCUCGGUCCCUUAAAGGUUGUGUCUACUAAGGUCUCGGUCCUUUAAAGGUUGGUUUUGCUGAGUUCAUGAUCCUUCAAAGGUUUGUUCUGCUAAGGUUUGUGUCCUUCAAAGUUGGUUCUGCUAAGGUCUGGGUCCUUCAAAGGUUUCUAAGGUCUGGGUUCUUCAACAGUCGUUUCUGCUAUGGUCUCGGUCCUUUAAAGGUUGGUUUUGCUGAGUUCAUGAUCCUUCAAAGGUUUGUUCUACUAAGGUCUGCGUCCUUUAAAGUCUGCAGCCUUUAGAUAACGACACAGAUUUUGCCACAGAAAUGUUUGCUCGAGUCUUUUUUUUACAAACAGAUCUGAAUUGUUUUUACUUUUGUCUUUGCACCUUUAAAAUGAUUGAUUUUCACUUUUAGAUCCACAUAGUGAACACUGGAUGGUUUUCACAUGACCUUAGUAAGUUUUAGAUUAAAGACAUAAAUUCAUCUCGACUCUGAGCUGCUCUAUGUUAAUAAAAUGUAGUUUAUUAGUUUGACAUGCUUUGUGAAAAAUAAAGUUCAUACAGUUUUAAGGAUCUGGAAGACUGACUGACGGGAAUAAAAACUUAAUACUGAAGUAUUUGAUUCAAGGGUCAAAGGUCAUGCUGUCAGAAAGUCGUCUUCUUAUGCUGCGUUCGAGUUACCUCUGAAGUUAGAUGUCCAAGCUGAAAAGGACACCCGAGUUCCCAGCGUUUCAGUUACCAAGUCGGAAAAAAGCAAAAUCAGAGGCCUGAAACAAGAUGGCUACAUCGACGAAAGUUACUUUAGCGCUUGCCUUCUCCAAAAAUGACUUUCAAAGAUGUAGCCAUAAUGGGAGGCCUGCCACAAGGUGGCUACAUUUAAGAAAGGUAUAUUAGCGCUUGCCCUAUAUUCAGACAAGGCAAGAGCUAAAAUUACUCUCAUGGAUACAGCCAUAAUCGGAGGCCUGAAACAAGAUGGUUACAUCUACAAAAGUUAUUUUAGCGCUUGCCUUAUAUUCGGACAAGGCAAACGCUAAAAACACUUUGGUAGAUGUAGCCAUCUUGUUUUCACCUGAGAUUUAGCUUUUUUCCGAUUUGGUAACGGAAACACUGGGAACUCAGGUGUGACAUAAUUUUCACCUCAGAGGUAACUCGAAAGCAGCAUUAUUUCGUAACUUUUCUGCUGCCUUCAAAUGGAAUUUGUAAAGUUACGUGAAGCGGCCCUGAACGGGAAAAGCUCAGGGCUCCAGUGGUAAUGAAAUAAAAACAUUGUUGCUAGGUAACCGGAAGAUGGGCGUUGUAACAUUCUAAUUCAGCCAUGGAGCCCAUCAAGUAACAGGUUUUGAACACACAAAUUUAAGCUAAUGUUAGGAAAAGAUGAAAACCACCGGGAAAAUAAAGGUUAUAGUGCAGCUGCUUAUCUGUCAGAGGAAAGGAAAACAAAGGCUCAAUAUUCAUGUGUGGACCUUAAAACUUGACUUGACCACUUGUCGGCUUCGUCAUUUCUUCCAUUGCCACCCAACAAAAACUUCACGCCUCCUCUUUUUCUCUCAUCUCUUGCAUAGCUUCAGAUACAUGUUAUGAGUACAGUGUGACAAUAACAUGAGAAAAAUGCAUCAAAAUACUUCCUACAAAAUCUUGAAUGUUCUUCAUAAAUGUAAAAAUACCCCCCAAAAAAAGGAGUGUGGUAUUUUAAAAACAUGGACAUAUUUGCUGUAGAGUCACAUGACCAGACAGGAGUUUGAAAGUGAUUCUGAUUUUGGAAAACUGCAUUUUCAUUUUAGACCAAUAAAAGGUUUUCCAGGUUUUAUGACUAGGGUGGC
Molecule: non-coding RNA, 3691 nt
Organism: Xyrichtys novacula (pearly razorfish)
Lineage: Eukaryota; Metazoa; Chordata; Actinopteri; Labriformes; Labridae
Source: the annotation of a GenBank genome assembly